GCUGUAGGAGAAAGUGAAAGGAAAGCAGCGCCUUGGACCACAAUGGCUCAAAGAGCUUUUGUCCCAGUGUUUUUUUUUAUUUGUUUGAAUUUUAUUUUAAGUUGUAUCUGGUUUCUAAUUACAACUAGCUGUUGAGGCAGUGUGGUUUUGUUGUUAUUGCUAUUGCUUCCUUAUGAGACAAGAAGAUUCAACUGAUUAAAGGCCUCUCCCUCUUUUACCUCUGAAGGUGAAAGAGCUGAGAUCUUGAGGAGCAAGUCAUUCUCAGGUGAAAUGUCUAAGGUGUAAGUCAGACUUUUCACCAUUCUCUUGAUUGUGAAUCAAAAAAAGCCAACUCUGCAGGACAUCUGUGAGAAGAUAGAUAUAUCACCUUGAGACAGAACAUCACCUCCUGGCACCAGACACACUGCUUGAUAGGCUGAGCACAUGCUGAUACUCAGGACCACUUCCCCCUUACACCAGGUGUCUUUGGAAACCAACCCUCCAGCAAAAACUGCAACUCCUCAAAUCCAGACAAUGAGAAGCCAGGCCCCUCAUCCAUCUUGAUUGCUUUCUUACUUGUUUCUGAUUCCUGUUUUCUCUGAACAUAGCUAUAUUCCUUCCGUACCAUAUAAACCCCAAAUUUAGUCAAGUGGGAGAGACAAAUUUGAGGUUUGGCUCUCACUUCUUCAGCUGAAGUCCCCCAAAUAAAAAGCCUUCUUCCCUG
Molecule: long non-coding RNA, 703 nt
Filed under: Homo sapiens (human)
Lineage: Eukaryota; Metazoa; Chordata; Mammalia; Primates; Hominidae
Description: HSALNT0090556
Source: RNAcentral